CUUCUGAAAAGAGAAACACAUAGUAAAGUUUGACAGGAUUCAAGUCGAAGUGCUUCGGCUUGAAUCAGAUAGUUGUAUCCUGCAAGAUAGACGUCCAAGGAACUACAAGCACAAGAAUAGGGACGAAUUUCUGUCUUAAGAGAUUGCUGCAAGCAAGCCUCUAUCUAUUAUCAACCUAUCAGCAGUUUAGGCGUGGCUAAAGUUUUGGAAUCUGGGGAUGCAAAGUUAAGCAAGGCGACUUGGUUUGGGGAAAGACUGGCUGGGAAGAGUAUGCCUGGUAUGACUGCCUAUGCUGGUUUUUAUGAGAUCUUCUCACCUAAGAAAGGAGAGACGGUCUUCGUUUCAGCCGCAUCAAGAGCGGUAGGUCAGCUUGUUGGCCAAUUUGCCAAGUUAGCCAGGUGCUAUGUUGUUGGGAGUGCUGGAAGCAAAGACAAGGUUGAUUUGCUGAAGAACAAGUUUGGCUUUGACCAGAAAGUCCGUAAAUGGAUCACAAAAGAGGUGGACUAAAGCAUGCACAAGUUUGGUUUAUGGGAAAUAAGUGAAGGUUCCACUCAUCAAUACUUUCACAACAGAGUAAUCGAAUAGCGGAUGCAGACGACAACUUGUAGUCCUCUCCAAUUGCACUCUUCUUUUCUUAUAAUUGCAUUUUCUACUUAAGAAAUGCCUAGGAAAAUUCUGAUGAAUUAUUUGCUAAAAUCAUCUUGUUGAACCUAUAUUAUGUCUUUCCUUUCCAUA
This is a long non-coding RNA of Rosa chinensis, 735 nucleotides long. RefSeq lists it as uncharacterized. The record is from RefSeq and is a predicted model, not a curated record. The transcript has 4 exons. Lineage: Eukaryota; Viridiplantae; Streptophyta; Magnoliopsida; Rosales; Rosaceae.